Non-coding RNA from Rattus norvegicus (Norway rat), 69 nucleotides. Lineage: Eukaryota; Metazoa; Chordata; Mammalia; Rodentia; Muridae. The record is from Rfam.
GGGGAUUUAGCUCAGUGGUAGAGCGCUUGCCUAGCAAAUGCAAGGCCCUGGGUUCGAUCCCCAGCUCCG